AAGAAUUUAGUUAAAACAUAACAUUAAUUUGUCAAAUUAAAAUUAUUUGUAAAAUAGUUCUUU
This 63-nucleotide transfer RNA is filed under the name Aoria nigripes. Its description in RNAcentral is "tRNA-Asp". Lineage: Eukaryota; Metazoa; Arthropoda; Insecta; Coleoptera; Chrysomelidae. The record is from RNAcentral.